AUUUGAAUCGUGUCUCUUAGAGUAAAUUUUUCUUCUUUUAAAGGGAAGCAUUCAAGAUCGGUGUCGAUUAAAGCUAAACAUAUGGUUUCCUUCUCUAUUUCUAUAAAUAGGAUUGGAUCCUUUUCUUUUCUUUAUCAUAUAGAAACAGAGCUUAAGUUCUGUGUCAAUCCCAAGCCCUGAGCCCAAGCCUUCGCAGAUCUGUCACUGAUACGUCUGCUUUCAAGCACCUUGGUUCAUCGUCGUUGCUCCCCAUUUUUUCCCUCAUCGCGAUCAUGUCCAAAUCUAGUUUACGGGUCAUUGUUUUUAGUUUUCAUCGUUCUUCUUGUCGUUCUAAAGAUAUACGUCUCUGGUUCAUCUUCUUUAGAUCUCGUUCAUCUCUGAUCCAUGGUCUGGAGGGUAGUGAUGAGAUGACGAGUCUGGGCAUAAGUGACUACGUGAAUAUAGAGUGGACAGUGCAAGAUGAGCUAAAGGGCCAUGAGCUAGUAGUCAUGUCGGAGCUGUAGGGUGGACAGUGCUGGAAAGAGCAGCAAGGCGACAUGCCAUUGAAUAUGCGUGCUUGAUGAUAAUGUGUAAUGAAAUGGAAUAGUAAUGAUAAAGAAUGGUGACAAAUGAAAUGGAGAUGUCCUAAUAUUGAACUGUUUUCUAUAGCUAAUCAGUUCUCGUUUUGUAUUGAGUCGCAUAGUGGCUCUUGUGGGAAAGCUGGAAUAGAGCUAUCUCACUGAGUAAAUCAGUUAGUCACCCCUAAUUUUUACAUGUUUUCGAGGAGUUGUAAGCGUAUAAGUUUUGGUGUGGUGUCAAAUCAUAUCCUGCAAGUGUAAAAAUCAUAUCUAA
Long non-coding RNA from Brassica oleracea var. oleracea, 831 nucleotides. RefSeq lists it as uncharacterized. The transcript is spliced from 2 exons. The record is from RefSeq and is a predicted model, not a curated record. Lineage: Eukaryota; Viridiplantae; Streptophyta; Magnoliopsida; Brassicales; Brassicaceae.